Molecule: ribosomal RNA, 648 nt
Filed under: Triticum aestivum (bread wheat)
Lineage: Eukaryota; Viridiplantae; Streptophyta; Magnoliopsida; Poales; Poaceae
Description: partial small subunit ribosomal RNA
Source: RNAcentral
AUGAUGUGCGGUUUCAGUACUACUAGCUGUGAGGAGGAGGAGGUUAGCCUUGAUGGCCAGGUGGUACCUCGGAAGGACACCUUUCGGUAUUUGGGGUCAAUGUUGCAGGAGGAUGGGGGUAUUGAUGAAGAUGUGAACCAUCGAAUCAAAGCCGGAUGGAUGAAGUGGCGCCAAGCUUCUGGCAUUCUCUGUGACAAGAGAGUGCCACAAAAGCUAAAAGGCAAGUUCUACAGGACGGCGGUUCGACCCGCAAUGUUGUAUGGCGCGGAGUGUUGGCCGACUAAAAGGCGACAUGUUCAACAGUUAGGUGUGGCGGAGAUGCGUAUAUUGAGAUGGAUGUGUGGCCACACGAGGAAGGAUCGAGUCCGGAAUGAUGAUAUACGAGAUAGAGUUGGGGUAGCACCAAUUGAGGAGAAGCUUGUCCAACAUCGUUUGAGAUGGUUUGGGCAUAUUCAGCGCAGGCCUCCAGAAGCUCCAGUGCAUAGCGGACGGCUAAAGCGUGCGGAGAAUGUCAAGAGAGGGCGGGGUCGACCGAUUUUGACAUGGGAGGAGUCCGUUAAGAGAGACCUGAAGGAUUGGAGUAUCGACAAAGAGCUAGCUAUAGACAGGGGUGCGUGGAAGCUUGCUAUCCAUGUGCCAGAGCCAUGA